This 428-nucleotide ribosomal RNA is filed under the name uncultured bacterium. RNAcentral describes it as "bacterial SSU rRNA". It matches the Rfam family "Bacterial small subunit ribosomal RNA", at positions 355 to 775 of the family's 1533-position model. The record is from RNAcentral.
UGGGGAAUUUUGGACAAUGGGGGAAACCCUGAUCCAGCCAUUCCGCGUGAGUGAAGAAGGCCUUCGGGUUGUAAAGCUCUUUUGUCCGGAACGAAAAGGCUACGUUUAAUACGCGUGGCUCAUGACGGUACCGGAAGAAUAAGCACCGGCUAACUACGUGCCAGCAGCCGCGGUAAUACGUAGGGUGCGAGCGUUAAUCGGAAUUACUGGGCGUAAAGCGUGCGCAGGCGGUUUUGUAAGCCAGAUGUGAAAGCCCCGGGCUCAACCUGGGAAUGGCAUUUGGGACUGCAAGGCUGGAGUUUGGCAGAGGAGACUGGAAUUCCUGGUGUAGCAGUGAAAUGCGUAGAUAUCAGGAGGAAUACCGAUGGCGAAGGCAGGUCUCUGGGCUAUAACUGACGCUCAUGCACGAAAGCGUGGGGAGCAAACAG